UUAGGUGUCAAUUUCUGUAAAUUCAUGAGUGAACCCUGCCUCCAUCUACUUGGGAAAACAGUGAUCUUAAAGGGAUGCUCAGUGAGAUUGCUUGCCUUAGCUCUUUUGCUUGGCUUUAGUUUCCAUAUACAAGGUGUACGGCUAACAUGCACAUAUGCAGUCCUCAUAUUUGGGAAGCUGGGGCAGACUUCAUGCUCUCCACCCCAGCCGGAGGUAUAUGAUUUCUACAACCACAGACCCCCUAGUGUUGCUUUUGGGUCCUAUGGCUUUAAAAGAGGGGUGGCAACCAGGUGGAGAUUCUGCACAUACACAGUAGCCAGGAUUAUACCUAUAGGUAUUUCUUUGUCUCUGUGGAUUUUGAAGACACCAUGUAUUAUACAAGUAUGAUCAGGAUUCUUCUGACCAGAAAUGGUUGGCUAAGUCUGAAGUUUUUGUUUUUUUUUUAAUCUUCUAAACAGAGUUGCAUAAAGGUAAGAAAUUUAAAAAUGGGUUCUGGGGUCCAAAAGAUCUGACUUCAGUUCUGACCCUACCAUCGCAAACUACGUGACCUUAGGUCUCAGUGAGGAUUAAAUGUCGUCAUAUAUAUAAAGUAUAUGGCAUGUAGUAGUCUUAACAGAAGGCUGUUAUCAGGAAUAUUCUUUCAUGUAAAGUGUAAACACCUAUUCAAAUACAAACCUGAGAAGGGAGGAAGGAUGGGAUGUACCUAACACUGACAAGGUGGUUUUGCUUUUGGAAGGAGACUGGGAGUCAGUGUGAAGGUGCUUGUCUUUUGGUUAGAUUUGGGAGGCCACACCUAGGUCCAGGCUCUGCAGCAGCUAAGGAAAGACUUCCCCGAACUUUCUAGACUUUACCAAAGGAUACUUAAUGGUGGAAGAGAUGGAGGGAGAGGAAAUAUGUGAGGAUCUAGGGAAGAGCCCUAAGCAAUUGUGCCAAACAUAAAAUUUCACUCUCUGCAACAUAUACACAUUUACUUUUGUAUAAAAAUGAUGCUUUGCCCCUGCCCCCCACAAAUCGUUAUGGUAAAUUGAUAGUCUAGAAAGUUGCACUCUGUGUAUCCUAAAACCUAAAAUGCCCAUGGGUGAGUACAUACGCAGCAGUUUGAGAAACAGGCAUUGAAAGUCGAAAGGAUAAGCCCACAUCCCUUCAUAGGGCCCUUCACAGUCUGAGUGCCAGUUACCUCCUCUGCUCUCUGUCCCUUUCAAAUGCCUCCCCACUUCCCAGACACAGAAGGCCCUUUAGCUGCCUGAGGCCUUUAUUUCGGUGCUUCCAGCCUGCCUGAAGUGAAGGGCCUUCCAUCCAACUCUCCUUUAGGAAUUUGGGCUGCUAUAAUGACAUACUACAGACUUAGUGGCUUAUUAACAACAACCAUUUAUUUCUUGCAGUUCUGGAAGCUGGGCAGUUCAAAGUCAAGGUGCCGGCAGAUCCAGUGUCUGGUGAGGGCCAGUGGUCUCCCGGUCUCUGAUGGUGCCUUCUUGCUGCAUCCUCACCGGGAGGAAAGGCUGAGAUGUAGCAUCAGUUGGUAAACCUCCAAGAACAAAGAUCACAGAGAUGUCUAUGGUUGAAAAUGGAUCAAAGAGAAUUCACAAUGUCCAGAAAGAGAGGAGUGAGGCAACAAGGUGAUCAUUACCAAGUUCCUCACCUCCGCGAACCCAGGAACCAUUGUGUCCAGAAUUGGUUCCUUCCGGUGGGUUCUUGGUCUUGCUGACUUCAAGAAUGAAGCCUCAGACCCUCGCGGUGAGUUGUUACAGUUCUUAAAGAUGGUGUGUCUGGAGUUUGUUCCUUCAGAUGUGUCCAGAGUUUCUUCCUUCUGGUGGGUUCGUGGUCUUGCCGACUUUAGGAGUGAAGCCGCAGACCUUCACAGUGAGUGUCACAGCUUUUUUUUUUU
Long non-coding RNA from Pan troglodytes (chimpanzee), 1885 nucleotides. RefSeq lists it as uncharacterized. The transcript has 3 exons. Lineage: Eukaryota; Metazoa; Chordata; Mammalia; Primates; Hominidae. The record is from RefSeq and is a predicted model, not a curated record.